This is a long non-coding RNA of Oreochromis aureus, 762 nucleotides long. The record is from Ensembl. NCBI's taxonomy places the organism in Eukaryota, Metazoa, Chordata, Actinopteri, Cichliformes, Cichlidae.
GGCUGUUGAAGAGUAUUGGGAGAAAUAUAUAAUGGCCUGGAAGAGAGUGAACGGACGGCGCUGACAAAAUUACCAAGAAAUUCCAAGGAUCCAGAGUUCAAUGGAGCAACGAGUUGGAGAAGAUUUGACAUGAUGAUUAAAUUGAUUUUGUUCCUUAAACACAGGUUUUCAGGGCUGGAGCAAAACACCGGAGAGGAGAAUUGCUGAGCUGUUCUGAGAAAUGAAAUGACUAACCUUUUUUCCUUUUAAUUUGUUAAGCUUGGGUGGAGCAUGUUGAGUUUUUUGCCACAUGAGAUGUGUCAAAAAAGAGAGGGGUUUAAGAUUUAAUUUGUUUAAUUUGAAAGGGGUUUUACUAGGAUUUUAUAAUGAUUGGGGUUGUUUGGUAAUCUAGAUAUAGUAAAACUGAGGCGGAGAUUGUUAAUUCUAAAGAAAGGAGUAAAAUGAACUGAAUUCUGUUUAGAAGAUAAAUUGCUGGGGUUAAAAAGAAGUUGUACACCAAAUUUAAAGGGGAAACUGUGGGAAUAAAGGAUAUGCUUUGGGGAAAAUAGUGAAGAUUUUAUGAGUAGAAAAUGUGGGAUUUCUUUUUGAUUUUUAGGAUAAGUUGUAACAGUGACAUAAUGCUAGAAUGUUGUUAUAAGGUAGGCUUUAGGGUAGAGGAGAGCUUUUUAUGAGGAUGUUAAAAGUCUCGCUGACUCAAAUGAAUAAUAUUGGAGAUUAUAUAUGUAGAAAUGAUUUUUUCAUACACAUUGCAUUUUGGUGCCU